AUUGAACGCUGGCGGCAGGCCUAACACAUGCAAGUCGAGCGGAAACGAGUUAUCUGAACCUUCGGGGAACGAUAACGGCGUCGAGCGGCGGACGGGUGAGUAAUGCCUAGGAAAUUGCCCUGAUGUGGGGGAUAACCAUUGGAAACGAUGGCUAAUACCGCAUGAUGCCUACGGGCCAAAGAGGGGGACCUUCGGGCCUCUCGCGUCAGGAUAUGCCUAGGUGGGAUUAGCUAGUUGGUGAGGUAAGGGCUCACCAAGGCGACGAUCCCUAGCUGGUCUGAGAGGAUGAUCAGCCACACUGGAACUGAGACACGGUCCAGACUCCUACGGGAGGCAGCAGUGGGGAAUAUUGCACAAUGGGCGCAAGCCUGAUGCAGCCAUGCCGCGUGUGUGAAGAAGGCCUUCGGGUUGUAAAGCACUCUCAGUCGUGAGGAAGGUAGUGUAGUUAAUAGCUGCAUUAUUUGACGUUAGCGACAGAAGAAGCACCGGCUAACUCCGUGCCAGCAGCCGCGGUAAUACGGAGGGUGCGAGCGUUAAUCGGAAUUACUGGGCGUAAAGCGCAUGCAGGUGGUUUGUUAAGUCAGAUGUGAAAGCCCGGGGCUCAACCUCGGAAUAGCAUUUGAAACUGGCAGACUAGAGUACUGUAGAGGGGGGUAGAAUUUCAGGUGUAGCGGUGAAAUGCGUAGAGAUCUGAAGGAAUACCGGUGGCGAAGGCGGCCCCCUGGACAGAUACUGACACUCAGAUGCGAAAGCGUGGGGAGCAAACAGGAUUAGAUACCCUGGUAGUCCACGCCGUAAACGAUGUCUACUUGGAGGUUGUGGCCUUGAGCCGUGGCUUUCGGAGCUAACGCGUUAAGUAGACCGCCUGGGGAGUACGGUCGCAAGAUUAAAACUCAAAUGAAUUGACGGGGGCCCGCACAAGCGGUGGAGCAUGUGGUUUAAUUCGAUGCAACGCGAAGAACCUUACCUACUCUUGACAUCCAGAGAACUUUCCAGAGAUGGAUUGGUGCCUUCGGGAACUCUGAGACAGGUGCUGCAUGGCUGUCGUCAGCUCGUG
This 1057-nucleotide ribosomal RNA is filed under the name Vibrio alginolyticus. RNAcentral describes it as "bacterial SSU rRNA". It matches the Rfam family "Bacterial small subunit ribosomal RNA", at positions 28 to 1064 of the family's 1533-position model. Lineage: Bacteria; Pseudomonadati; Pseudomonadota; Gammaproteobacteria; Vibrionales; Vibrionaceae. The record is from RNAcentral.